CCGACAUUUAUCGGUUAGAGCUAUUCUGUACAGCUCCUCACCGACGCGCGUCGUUAAAAAUGAACGACAAGUAUCGGUCAUAAACGAUAAUCCUACCGAGGGGUCCCUUGGCCAUCGGUAGCGCUUGACCGACGCACACGGACGAGAUUAUCGUCGGUUUAUGUGAUUAUGUUAGUGAAUUCGCGAUUUGAGGUAGUGAUACUGCACAUUGCGAUUUCACAUAUUUAUAAAAUUUUUGUUUAGUUUAUUACGUUUCUGUUGGUAUAAAAUAUAAUAGUGUGUGUGUGCUGUAAAUUGUAACCCAAAAAUGUGCAACGAAGGAUCGACAAGCUGCAAGAGAAAAGUUCCGCACAGCACAACAUCCGUUUAUAGGUGCUAUCGGUGCAAUAGAUUGCACUUAUGUAUCGAUUCUGGCACCGCAACUUCACGAAGAAGCCUACAUCAAUCACUGGGGUGAUCACUGUCUCAAUGUUCAAGCGGUAUAUAUAAAUAAAUAAUUUGUGACCCUGAUUUAAAAAUUCUAAACAUUAAUGCUCGAUAUCCUGGGAC
This 549-nucleotide unclassified non-coding RNA is filed under the name Harpegnathos saltator (Jerdon's jumping ant). Its description in RNAcentral is "uncharacterized LOC112590187, transcript variant X4". The record is from RNAcentral. Lineage: Eukaryota; Metazoa; Arthropoda; Insecta; Hymenoptera; Formicidae.